CCCUGCCAUUUGUACACACCGCCCGUCGCUGCUACCGAUUGGAUGAUCCGGUGAAAUUCUCGGACUGUCGCUCAGGGGUGGUUCGCCGCCGCUGGGUGAUAGGAAGUUACUUAAACCUUAUUAUCUAGAGGAAGCAAAAGUCGUAACAAG
RNAcentral lists this ribosomal RNA (150 nucleotides) under uncultured eukaryote. RNAcentral describes it as "partial small subunit ribosomal RNA". It matches the Rfam family "Eukaryotic small subunit ribosomal RNA", at positions 1651 to 1798 of the family's 1831-position model. The record is from RNAcentral.